RNAcentral lists this ribosomal RNA (506 nucleotides) under uncultured bacterium. RNAcentral's name for it is "partial 16S ribosomal RNA". It matches the Rfam family "Bacterial small subunit ribosomal RNA", at positions 29 to 523 of the family's 1533-position model. The record is from RNAcentral.
AGUGAACGCCGGCGGUAGGCCUAACACAUGCAAGUUGAACGGCAGCACAGGAGAGCUUGCUCUCUGGGUGGCGAGUGGCGGACGGGUGAGGCAUACAUCGGAAUCUACUCUGUCGUGGGGGAUAACGUAGGGAAACUUACGCUAAUACCGCAUACGACCUACGGGUGAAAGCAGGGGACCUUCGGGCCUUGCGCGAUGGAAUGAGUCGCGGUCGGGUUAGCUAGUUGGCGGGGUAAAGUCCCACCAAGGCGACGAUCCGUAGCGGGUCUGAGGGGAUGAUCAGCCACACUGGAACUGAGGCACGGUCCAGACUCCUACGGGAGGCAGCAGUGGGGAAUAUUGGACAAUGGGCGCAAGCCUGAUCCAGCCAUACCGCGUGGGUGAAGAAGGCCUUCGGGUUGGAAAGCCCUUUUGUUGGGAAAGAAAUCCAGCUGGCUAAUACCCGGUUGGGAUGACGGUACCCAAAGAAUAAGCACCGGCUAACUUCGUGCCAGCCGCCGCCGUAA